RNAcentral lists this ribosomal RNA (513 nucleotides) under uncultured bacterium. Its description in RNAcentral is "partial 16S ribosomal RNA". It matches the Rfam family "Bacterial small subunit ribosomal RNA", at positions 28 to 523 of the family's 1533-position model. The record is from RNAcentral.
GAUGAACGCUGGCGGCGUGCCUAAUACAUGCAAGUCGAACGCACAGCGAAAGGUGCUUGCACCUUUCAAGUGAGUGGCGAACGGGUGAGUAACACGUGGACAACCUGCCUCAAGGCUGGGGAUAACAUUUGGAAACAGAUGCUAAUACCGAAUAAAACUCAGUGUCGCAUGACACAAAGCUAAAAGGCGCUUUGGCGUCACCUAGAGAUGGAUCCGCGGUGCAUUAGUUAGUUGGUGGGGUAAAGGCCUACCAAGACAAUGAUGCAUAGCCGAGUUGAGAGACUGAGCAGCCACAUUGGGACUGAGACACGGCCCAAACUCCUACGGGAGGCUGCAGUAGGGAAUCUUCCACAAUGGGCGAAAGCCUAAUGGAGCAACGCCGCGUGUGUGAUGAAGGCUUUCGGGUCGUAAAGCACUGUUGUAUGGGAAGAACAGCUAGAAUAGGGAAUGAUUUUAGUUUGACGGUACCAUACCAGAAAGGGACGGCUAAAUACGUGCCAGCCGCCGCUGUAA